This 213-nucleotide long non-coding RNA is filed under the name Elaeis guineensis (African oil palm). Its description in RNAcentral is "long non-coding RNA (EGUI_LNC054239)". The record is from RNAcentral. Lineage: Eukaryota; Viridiplantae; Streptophyta; Magnoliopsida; Arecales; Arecaceae.
UGCUGGCAGGUUUGUGAGAGGGUCUCUUUGAAAAAUUUUGUGAGAGCUUUUGUGAGGGUAGCUUCUAGUUGAGAGAGAUUUGGGUAUGAAGAAUUGAGAGUGUUGCCCAGAUAUGGAGCCUAAGAGAGGGGGUGAAUUAGAUCUUUUUAAAAUUUUCAAGAUUAGUGCACUUAAAUAAUGUGCUAAGGUGUUGAGUGGAAUGAGUUGAUUUGC